Molecule: ribosomal RNA, 497 nt
Filed under: uncultured bacterium
Lineage: Bacteria
Description: partial 16S ribosomal RNA
Rfam family: Bacterial small subunit ribosomal RNA
Source: RNAcentral
GAUGAGCGCUGGCGGCGUGCCUAAUACAUGCAAGUCGAGCGAACGGACGAGAAGCUUGCUUUUCUGAUGUUAGCGGCGGACGGGUGAGUAACACGUGGAUAACCUACCUAUAAGACUGGGAUAACUUCGGGAAACCGGAGCUAAUACCGGUUAAUAUUUUGAACCGCAUGGUUCAAAAGUGAAAGACGGUCUUGCUGUCACUUAUAGAUGGAUCCGCGCUGCAUUAGCUAGUUGGUAAGGUAACGGCUUACCAAGGCAACGAUGCAUAGCCGACCUGAGAGGGGGAUCGGCCACACUGGAACUGAGACACGGUCCAGACUCCUACGGGAGGCAGCAGUAGGGAAUCUUCCGCAAUGGGCGAAAGCCUGACGGAGCAACGCCGCGUGAGUGAUGAAGGUCUUCGGAUCGUAAAACUCUGUUAUUAGGGAAGAACAUAUGUGUAAGUAACUGUGCACAUCUUGACGGUGCCUAAUCAGAAAGCCACGGCUAACUACGUG